ACACAUGCAAGUCGAACGAUGAAGCCGAGCUUGCUUGGUGGAUUAGUGGCGAACGGGUGAGUAACACGUGAGCAACCUGCCCUGGACUCUGGGAUAAGCGCUGGAAACGGUGUCUAAUACUGGAUAUGAGCUCUCAUCGCAUGGUGGGGGUUGGAAAGAUUUUUCGGUCUGGGAUGGGCUCGCGGCCUAUCAGCUUGUUGGUGAGGUAAUGGCUUACCAAGGCGUCGACGGGUAGCCGGCCUGAGAGGGUGACCGGCCACACUGGGACUGAGACACGGCCCAGACUCCUACGGGAGGCAGCAGUGGGGAAUAUUGCACAAUGGGCGGAAGCCUGAUGCAGCAACGCCGCGUGAGGGAUGACGGCCUUCGGGUUGUAAACCUCUUUUAGCAAGGAAGAAGCGAAAGUGACGGUACUUGCAGAAAAAGCGCCGGCUAACUACGUGCCAGCAGCCGCGGUAAUACGUAGGGCGCAAGCGUUAUCCGGAAUUAUUGGGCGUAAAGAGCUCGUAGGCGGUUUGUCGCGUCUGCUGUGAAAACCCGAGGCUCAACCUCGGGCCUGCAGUGGGUACGGGCAGACUAGAGUGCGGUAGGGGAGAUUGGAAUUCCUGGUGUAGCGGUGGAAUGCGCAGAUAUCAGGAGGAACACCGAUGGCGAAGGCAGAUCUCUGGGCCGUAACUGACGCUGAGGAGCGAAAGGGUGGGGAGCAAACAGGCUUAGAUACCCUGGUAGUCCACCCCGUAAACGUUGGGAACUAGUUGUGGGGUCCUUUCCACGGAUUCCGUGACGCAGCUAACGCAUUAAGUUCCCCGCCUGGGGAGUACGGCCGCAAGGCUAAAACUCAAAGGAAUUGACGGGGACCCGCACAAGCGGCGGAGCAUGCGGAUUAAUUCGAUGCAACGCGAAGAACCUUACCAAGGCUUGACAUACACGAGAACAUCCCAGAAAUGGGGGACUCUUUGGACACUCGUGAACAGGUGGUGCAUGGUUGUCGUCAGCUCGUGUCGUGAGAUGUGGGUAAGUCCCGCACGAGCGCAACCCUCGUUCUAUGUGCAGCACGUAUGGUGGGACUCAUGGGAUACUGCCGGGUCACUCGGAGGAAGGUGGGGAUGACGUCAAAUCAUC
RNAcentral lists this ribosomal RNA (1122 nucleotides) under uncultured Microbacterium sp. RNAcentral's name for it is "bacterial SSU rRNA". It matches the Rfam family "Bacterial small subunit ribosomal RNA", at positions 51 to 1194 of the family's 1533-position model. The record is from RNAcentral. Lineage: Bacteria; Bacillati; Actinomycetota; Actinomycetes; Micrococcales; Microbacteriaceae.